Molecule: ribosomal RNA, 497 nt
Filed under: uncultured bacterium
Lineage: Bacteria
Description: partial 16S ribosomal RNA
Rfam family: Bacterial small subunit ribosomal RNA
Source: RNAcentral
GAUGAACGCUGGCGGCGUGCCUAAUACAUGCAAGUCGAGCGAACGGACGAGAAGCUUGCUUCUCUGAUGUUAGCGGCGGACGGGUGAGUAACACGUGGAUAACCUACCUAUAAGACUGGGAUAACUUCGGGAAACCGGAGCUAAUACCGGAUAAUAUUUUGAACCGCAUGGUUCAAAAGUGAAAGACGGUCUUGCUGUCACUUAUAGAUGGAUCCGCGCUGCAUUAGCUAGUUGGUAAGGUAACGGCUUACCAAGGCAACGAUGCAUAGCCGACCUGAGAGGGUGAUCGGCCACACUGGAACGGAGACGCGGUCAAGACGCCUAAGGGAGGCAGCAGUAGGGAAUCUGACGCAAUGGGCGAAAGCCUGACGGAGCAACGCCGCGUGAGUGAUGAAGGUCUUCGGAUCGUAAAACUCUGUUAUGAGGGAAGAACAGAUGUGUAAGUAACUGUGCACAUCUUGACGGUACCUAAUCAGAAAGCCACGGCUAACUACGUG